RNAcentral lists this unclassified non-coding RNA (249 nucleotides) under Cladophialophora sp. RNAcentral's name for it is "partial contains 5.8S ribosomal RNA, internal transcribed spacer 2, and large subunit ribosomal RNA". The record is from RNAcentral. RNAcentral also lists the same sequence under 1 other name. Lineage: Eukaryota; Fungi; Ascomycota; Eurotiomycetes; Chaetothyriales; Herpotrichiellaceae.
AACGCACAUUGCGCCCCUUGGUAUUCCAUGGGGCAUGCCUGUUCGAGCGUCAUUUGUACCUUCAAGCUCUGCUUGGUGUUGGGUGUUUGUUCUCUCCCUGCGUUUGAACUCGCCUUAAAGUAAUUGGCAGCCGGCAUAUUGGCCUUGGAGCGCAGCACAUUUUGCGCUUUUAGUCAGUAUAUACUAGCUUCCAUCAAGUCUUUUAUCACUUUUGACCUCGGAUCAGGUAGGGAUACCCGCUGAACUUAA